RNAcentral lists this ribosomal RNA (439 nucleotides) under Staphylococcus epidermidis NIHLM087. RNAcentral describes it as "bacterial SSU rRNA". It matches the Rfam family "Bacterial small subunit ribosomal RNA", at positions 1100 to 1533 of the family's 1533-position model. Lineage: Bacteria; Bacillati; Bacillota; Bacilli; Caryophanales; Staphylococcaceae. The record is from RNAcentral.
AACCCUUAAGCUUAGUUGCCAUCAUUAAGUUGGGCACUCUAAGUUGACUGCCGGUGACAAACCGGAGGAAGGUGGGGAUGACGUCAAAUCAUCAUGCCCCUUAUGAUUUGGGCUACACACGUGCUACAAUGGACAAUACAAAGGGCAGCGAAACCGCGAGGUCAAGCAAAUCCCAUAAAGUUGUUCUCAGUUCGGAUUGUAGUCUGCAACUCGACUAUAUGAAGCUGGAAUCGCUAGUAAUCGUAGAUCAGCAUGCUACGGUGAAUACGUUCCCGGGUCUUGUACACACCGCCCGUCACACCACGAGAGUUUGUAACACCCGAAGCCGGUGGAGUAACCAUUUGGAGCUAGCCGUCGAAGGUGGGACAAAUGAUUGGGGUGAAGUCGUAACAAGGUAGCCGUAUCGGAAGGUGCGGCUGGAUCACCUCCUUUCUAAGGA